AACCUAUUUCAAGUUUCGAGCUGUUAGCUACAGUCUGAGUGUUCUGGAAAGAUAACACUGGAGGUUUAUGAGGCACGAAGGCUUGCAUCCUGCCAUUAGCGAGUAUUUCAGUUGCAUUUCCUUUCAGACUCUUAAAGUAUGCUCUUUUUAAGGAUGAGAUGCAGCAAUAAAAACAAAAUGUAAUAUAGCCAAAAUAACACCAAGAUUUACACCAAUAUUAUCUGUGCGAGAUAUGAGAGCUAAGACCAAGGUGAGUAUCCAAAAUAACUGUAACAUUCUCCAGUUUAGCUGUUCAGCAUAAAAAUCCAUACAAGCUUUUUGGAGAGAAUAUAAUUGUAUCUACUUAAGCUCUGAAAGCUGAACUCAAAUUAGACAGGAAAGUAAGAUAAAGGAGCAAUUUUCUGACUCGAAUAAUGAAUAUGCAUGAUACGAAUUGAACCGCAAAGACCUUUAAGUGACAUUGGCCUGUCUAUGAUAAUUCUAGUUACAGUUUAAAGUAUGUUAAUACAACCACUUCAGCCCAUUGCCUUGCAGUAUGCAUUAAACAGCAGAUAUAGAAGUCCAGAAUAUUGCCGCAGCAGUAGAUAUAGUGUGUCAUUUUGUAACACAUGGGAGGAUUAUUUUAUUAUUCAAUUCAGCAGUGUACAACAAGGUUAUGUGAGACCACACCUUGAACCAGUCUGGGCACCCUCUUCUGACCUCUCUCAUCAACAUGUUGUUUCUGCCCACUGAACUGCUGCUCACUGGAUGUUUUUUUGCACCAUUCUGUGUAAACUCUACAGACUGCAGUGAGUGAAAAUCCCAGGAGAUCAGGAUUUUCUGAAAUACUCAAACCAGCCUGUCUGGCAGCAACAACCAUGAGACAGGGUCACGGGGAACCUGGAGCCUAUCCCAGGGAGCAUCGGGCACAAGGCGGGGUACACCCUGGACAGGGUGAGGAUUGAUAUAAACCUGUGAUUUGCCUUGUAGUUGACACUACGUCAGAGCUGCUGUUAAAGGUGAAUUGGUGACACUAAAAUAUCUCCUAGGUGUGAAUGCAUGUGUAAAUGUCUGUGUGUGUGUGUGUAUGUACGUCUAGUGCCCUGACCAGAAUAAGGAACGUACCCAAGUUAAUGAAUGAAUGUGAUUUGUGCGUCUGUGCGCUUGUGUAUACACAGUGCUAAAAUGUUAAAAUGUGCAUUGUGCAUUAAUUGAGGUAUGUAACUUUGUAUAUUAAAUGAAAUAAGGCAAGUUUAAAACAUGACUGAAGACUUGUAAUGAUUUGCUUGACCAUAUGUAUUUUGACCAAGCUCUUAGCACAACAAGACCAAAGACUGAACUGAUGGGUUUCAAGUUAUACUAUCUUUUCUGUUACUCCAUUAACUAAUCAUGCAUAAACAUUAACAUUUUCCAUCAUCCCACAAUCUGGCUAUUUGAACAUGGCACUGUUUUGAAAUCUGUCACUGGCACUGACACAAACAUGGGCAAUCUGAUCU
Molecule: long non-coding RNA, 1475 nt
Organism: Ictalurus punctatus (channel catfish)
Lineage: Eukaryota; Metazoa; Chordata; Actinopteri; Siluriformes; Ictaluridae
Exons: 3
Source: RefSeq, a predicted model, not a curated record